This 278-nucleotide ribosomal RNA is filed under the name uncultured prokaryote. Its description in RNAcentral is "partial 16S ribosomal RNA". It matches the Rfam family "Bacterial small subunit ribosomal RNA", at positions 524 to 801 of the family's 1533-position model. The record is from RNAcentral.
UACGUAAGGGGCAAGCGUUAUCCGGAUUUACUGGGUGUAAAGGGAGCGUAGACGGUGAGGCAAGUCUGAUGUGAAAACCCGGGGCUCAACUCCGGGAUUGCAUUGGAAACUGUCUGACUUGAGUACUGGAGGGGUAAGCGGAAUUCCUGGUGUAGCGGUGAAAUGCGUAGAUAUCAGGAGGAACACCGGUGGCGAAGGCGGCUUACUGGACAGUAACUGACGUUGAGGCUCGAAAGCGUGGGGAGCAAACAGGAUUAGAUACCCUGGUAGUCCCUGAG